Molecule: long non-coding RNA, 573 nt
Filed under: Theobroma cacao (cacao)
Lineage: Eukaryota; Viridiplantae; Streptophyta; Magnoliopsida; Malvales; Malvaceae
Description: long non-coding RNA (TCAC_LNC000371)
Source: RNAcentral
GUGCCCCUCUAAUAGGCUGGCCCACAGAACCCGCCACUGCAGUGACCAAUCUAUAACCCACCAAUUCAAUAAAAAUUCAAUAGCAUGACAUGGCAAUUUUAUCAUUAUCCAGCCUAUCAAGGCAAACAACAAUUUAUACAUUUUCAACACAAAUACCCAUUCAGCCAUUCAUGCCUACAUUAUCAUAAGCCAUUCAAUUCAAAACAUAAUUUACAGUACAGCAAGUAGUCUCCAAUUACUCCAUUUUCAAAUCAUCAUUAAAUUUCAAAACAAUUUAUAAAAUCAUUUCAUUUAAACACAUUUCCCAUAAAAUUACAAACUCGGAUAAAAACAUACUUUAGAUAAUUAAGACGAUAAUAAGGUUACUCACAAUAUCGGGAGUUUGAAUUUUUGGAGUAUUCCGACUAUUGAUCUUCGAGUACAACUUUUUUGCCCUUACUAGAGGAUUCACCACCUAAACAUAAUGCAUAAUCAAGCAAUUUACCACAUUGGUGCUAAACCGUUAUAAAACUAAUCUAGGCUCUAUAUGAAUGCAUGAAAUGGAAUGUGAAUUGUUUGGAUCAUCGUCUAAAC